RNAcentral lists this ribosomal RNA (364 nucleotides) under uncultured Thauera sp. RNAcentral's name for it is "bacterial SSU rRNA". It matches the Rfam family "Bacterial small subunit ribosomal RNA", at positions 1018 to 1382 of the family's 1533-position model. Lineage: Bacteria; Pseudomonadati; Pseudomonadota; Betaproteobacteria; Rhodocyclales; Zoogloeaceae. The record is from RNAcentral.
GUUCGGGGGACAGGGUGACAGGUGGUGCAUGGUUGUCGUCAGCUCGUGUCGUGAGAUGUUGGGUUAAGCCCCGCAACGAGCGCAACCCUUGUCACUAGUUGCCAUCAUUUAGUUGGGCACUCUAGUGAGACUGCCGGUGACAAACCGGAGGAAGGUGGGGAUGACGUCAAGUCCUCAUGGCCCUUAUGGGUAGGGCUUCACACGUCAUACAAUGGUCGGUACAGAGGGUUGCCAAGCCGCGAGGUGGAGCCAAUCCCUUAAAGCCGAUCGUAGUCCGGAUCGUAGUCUGCAACUCGACUACGUGAAGUCGGAAUCGCUAGUAAUCGCAGAUCAGCAUGCUGCGGUGAAUACGUUCCCGGGUCUU